GAUGACUGGUGACAGAGUGAGGGAAUGACUGGUGACAGAGUGAGAGAGGGGGUGAAUAGUGACCGAGUGAGGGAGGGAGAGGGUGACUAGUGACAGAGUGAGGAAGGGGGUGACACAGUGAUAGUCACCCCAUUCCUCCCUCUGUCACUAAUCACCACCUCCCUCACUCUCACUAGUCACCACUUCCCUCCCUCACUCUGUCACUAGUCACACCCUCCCUCUCUCUGUCACUAGAGUGAGGGGGUGACUAGUGACGGGGUGACAGGUGAUAGAGUGAUGGGGUGACUAGUGACAGUUACCACCUCCUUCACUCUGUCACUAGUCACCCCCUCCAUCACUCUGUCAUUGUGUCACCCCCUUCCUCACUCUGUCAC
Pelobates cultripes (western spadefoot toad) is the source of this 374-nucleotide non-coding RNA. The record is from the annotation of a GenBank genome assembly. NCBI's taxonomy places the organism in Eukaryota, Metazoa, Chordata, Amphibia, Anura, Pelobatidae.